CAUGCAAGUCGAGCGAACGGACGAGAAGCUUGCUUCUCUGAUGUUAGCGGCGGACGGGUGAGUAACACGUGGAUAACCUACCUAUAAGACUGGGAUAACUUCGGGAAACCGGAGCUAAUACCGGAUAAUAUUUUGAACCGCAUGGUUCAAAAGUGAAAGACGGUCUUGCUGUCACUUAUAGAUGGAUCCGCGCUGCAUUAGCUAGUUGGUAAGGUAACGGCUUACCAAGGCAACGAUGCAUAGCCGACCUGAGAGGGUGAUCGGCCACACUGGAACUGAGACACGGUCCAGACUCCUACGGGAGGCAGCAGUAGGGAAUCUUCCGCAAUGGGCGAAAGCCUGACGGAGCAACGCCGCGUGAGUGAUGAAGGUCUUCGGAUCGUAAAACUCUGUUAUUAGGGAAGAACAUAUGUGUAAGUAACUGUGCACAUCUUGACGGUACCUAAUCAGAAAGCCACGGCUAA
Molecule: ribosomal RNA, 464 nt
Filed under: Staphylococcus aureus
Lineage: Bacteria; Bacillati; Bacillota; Bacilli; Caryophanales; Staphylococcaceae
Description: bacterial SSU rRNA
Rfam family: Bacterial small subunit ribosomal RNA
Source: RNAcentral